CAGUCGCCGCGGUAAUACGAAGGGUGCAAGCGUUAAUCGGAAUUACUGGGCGUAAAGCGUGCGUAGGCGGUUUGUUAAGUCUGCUGUGAAAUCCCCGGGCUCAACCUGGGAAUGGCAGUGGAUACUGGCAAGCUAGAGUGUGUCAGAGGAUGGUGGAAUUUCCGGUGUAGCGGUGAAAUGCGUAGAGAUCGGAAGGAACAUCAGUGGCGAAGGCGGCCAUCUGGGACAACACUGACGCUGAAGCACGAAAGCGUGGGGAGCAAACAGGAUUAGAUACCCCAGUAGUCCCUGUCUCUUAUAC
This 301-nucleotide ribosomal RNA is filed under the name uncultured bacterium. RNAcentral describes it as "partial 16S ribosomal RNA". It matches the Rfam family "Bacterial small subunit ribosomal RNA", at positions 509 to 807 of the family's 1533-position model. The record is from RNAcentral.